Molecule: ribosomal RNA, 427 nt
Filed under: uncultured bacterium
Lineage: Bacteria
Description: partial 16S ribosomal RNA
Rfam family: Bacterial small subunit ribosomal RNA
Source: RNAcentral
UGGGGAAUAUUGGACAAUGGGCGAAAGCCUGAUCCAGCCAUGCCGCGUGUGUGAAGAAGGUCUUCGGAUUGUAAAGCACUUUAAGUUGGGAGGAAGGGCAUUAACCUAAUACGUUAGUGUUUUGACGUUACCGACAGAAUAAGCACCGGCUAACUCUGUGCCAGCAGCCGCGGUAAUACAGAGGGUGCAAGCGUUAAUCGGAAUUACUGGGCGUAAAGCGCGCGUAGGUGGUUUGUUAAGUUGGAUGUGAAAUCCCCGGGCUCAACCUGGGAACUGCAUUCAAAACGGACUGACUAGAGUAUGGUAGAGGGUGGUGGAAUUUCCUGUGUAGCGGUGAAAUGCGUAGAUAUAGGAAGGAACACCAGUGGCGAAGGCGACCACCUGGACUAAUACUGACACUGAGGUGCGAAAGCGUGGGGAGCAAACA